CAAAAUAAAUAAUACACAGACCGUUUAAUUUAACGCUAUGUUAUUUUGCUAGCUAGAGAGUUUUCCGAUAUGCGGGUUUCGACGAAUUUUGCUAUUGAACAUUUAUAGUGUUAUAUUAAAUAUAGUGUGACAACAAACAAUUGACACACAAACAAAGAAUUAGGGUUUCUACCAAUUGUCUUCUGAUUGUAAUUUCACUUUACAUGUUUUGCAUUUGCUCCAUUAGGGUUGUUGAAUCCAAUAAGGUCCAUCAUCGAAUUAAUCAAAUUGAGAGAUUAAUAUUUGGGUAACGACUGAUGUUGGUUAAUGUUUUUAAAGGUAUGAGUAGGAAGGUUUAAUAGCUUUUUUUAUGUAAUUUUUAAAUUAAUUUUAAAUUUUUCUGAUUCUAUGUGGUUUAUUGUUGAAACCCGAGAAAUUGUUGAUUGGUUCUUGUUUCAAAUAAAUACGAUUAAUUGUUAUCUUGUAUUUAGAGCUAUAGAGAUCGAACUACCAGAAAAAUAUAUUUUUGAUUUAGAAUUUUUUUGGUAAGAAAAUAAACAUUAUUAAUAGUGAACCAUAUACAUUUUAAGAAUCAAUGCAUGAGAAGGUUGCAUCUCAACAAUAUCUUCACAACCUUUAUGUUUAAAAGCAAUUUGAUUUUGUCACGGACAUUUAUCGAUAUUUUGAAUAAUUUUAAAUUUAAUGAUAAUUCCAUGGUUUAUCUAUACAUCAUUAUUGCACUAAAUCAGUCAUUUACUAUUACUAACCUGUUAAAACCUGCAAUACUUCUUUGUCUCGACGUAUUGUUGCGAAGCUCUUAAUGCGAAAAAAAACCGCAAAAUUGCAAUGCACAAUUUUUUUGCACAAAAACAAAAAAUCUACCGGUAAACGAUUGCAAGUUUAGCGUCUAUCGGAGCAUGACUCGGAAUUGUAUUGGUACCUGAUGGUAAUGGUAUACAAGCGCGACUGAAGGUAACUAUACUCGCGCUUUCUUUGGGUACCACAUGGUUCCUCAAGGCUGUGGUACCGAAAGGACGACCACCUUUUUGUUUUGAUUUUUGUUUGCAUGUAGCAAGUUCCAUAUAAACGGUUUUGUUGAUGAUUUACCUUUAACAUACCAAUCUUGAUUCGUAUUGCGUUUUUUCACGUCAGUUCUGUUAAUUACUACAAUGAUGAUGCAUAUUAAUUGUAUACUAGAUGGUCGAGUUUUUAGUCGACUAUGUUUGUUUUAUUUAAUUCUAAUUUUGCCUGUUUGGAGUUUUAAGGAGUGCGCUCUUCAAAUCUGUGUGAUUAAUUUUCGGUUUUUAUUUGUUUAUAUUAUUGGCUGGCAGUUUUAACAAUUUAUUCAGAAUCAUAAUUCGACGACUAAUGAUGACUAGCCAUUUCUAUAAUGUUUAUUAAUAUACGAUUAAUGGAAAUAAACUUUAAAAUAUAUUCCACUAAAUUAGAUGAUAGGUAGAUCAAUUGCUAAACGCGUGCAUACUUGCGUCAUUAUUUUAUAACUUUUCCUAGACCUUACAGUUUACACGAUGGAAAUUGUCAUGAGCCGGAUGGAAUCGUCAAAAGCUCAUGGUAUAAAAUAUUUGAUUUGGGUUUUUUAACUGGAGCAUGGGAAAUACGAAACUCUAUGCUGAGUGCUGAUUAUACAUCCUCCCUAUGCAGCUCGUUAGUUACGUUUAGAUGCUCACACUGUUUGCCUAAUGAACAAUAUCUAAAGUAAAUUAAGAAUCUAAGUCAGUUCAAAUCGUUCUGCAUAUCAGCUAAUUACAAUCAUCAAACAAUGUGAACUAUCGUACUUAGAAACACCCCAUAUUUUAUAUUUGUAUUUAUAUUGUUAAUAUGGAUUUGUCAACAUUUUUUUCAUAUUUCCGAUUAAACGUUUGCUGCUUUGAGUUCGAGAUCGUGGAACCUUGUAUUGAAUAUAUCCUCUGAAUGCCAAGUGAACAAUUAGAAGACAACAUUGUGUAAAAGCUAACUAAAUAAGGCAAUUUGAAUUCACUUGACGGGAUUAUGUAAUGUGUCUUUGCAAAUAAAUAUUCGAUAAUUGAUUUUA
Dendroctonus ponderosae (mountain pine beetle) is the source of this 2032-nucleotide long non-coding RNA. RefSeq lists it as uncharacterized. The record is from RefSeq and is a predicted model, not a curated record. The transcript is spliced from 2 exons. Lineage: Eukaryota; Metazoa; Arthropoda; Insecta; Coleoptera; Curculionidae.